Molecule: long non-coding RNA, 10298 nt
Organism: Aedes albopictus (Asian tiger mosquito)
Lineage: Eukaryota; Metazoa; Arthropoda; Insecta; Diptera; Culicidae
Exons: 3
Source: RefSeq, a predicted model, not a curated record
AAGGACAUUUCUUUCGCAGUGAAACUCCAGCUGAUUUCAUCAUCAUCAUUGAUUGGAAUAUCAUUGUUUUCAAAUGUUUCAAUAUAUGUAGGUAUAGCUGUGUUCUGUUUGUGUUGCUUUCUGUUCUUUUUGUUGUUUUUCUUGUUAAAAACGCUUUGCUUGUUCGAGUAAAAUUUCUGACAGAGCCACCCGCCCAACAGUAGUCAUUUUCUUGGUCUUCUCUCCUCUGGUCCUAUCUAAAAUCUUUUCACACUAAAUCACAUUCCACAACGGUAAGCCAGCAUCAUCGGUUGCGCUUUUCCUAGCUAUAUUCUCUGUUGUGCUAUUCUCUUCGAUUAAAACUUCCCAUAACAUUUGAAUGGUGUGUACAAGUCUUUGUUGCUUUUUGCUUCUUUUGAAAAUCCCCAAUUAAAACCACUACUACGUGCGCUUCCAAUUCACUCAUACGACACCCACACACAAAUCGGUUCAAUCGUUAUUUUGAGCGAAAACUAAAACUUCUUUUUCUUUGUCAACUGCAAAUUGCUAUUCUUGAAUUCAAGUGAUUUUCCACCGUCGAUUUGUUCAAGUUCGUUUUAAGGUGAAACGGGACGCCGUGUUAUUUUUCCUAUCUUGCCUCUCUUUCUAACAAUUUGCCUCGCGAUUUUGAAGAUGGUAAUCUCGAGUUCUAUCGCACUGAAGAUGCUGAAAAACAAUCAGCAUAUGCACUGCAAGUGAGCAUACACAGUGAUAGGUUUUUGUUGCAAAAUAUGAAGUAGAAUCUGAGAUUACCAUCUUAGUAGCAACAGAGCAAUGGCGGAUAUUUCCCCGACCGUCCCGUCCGCCCUUAAACGGUGUACUGCACACGAAUCAGUAACGUUUCCGUGGUUGCUUUGAUUGGCUUUGAGUGUGAGGACUGAGGAGCUCCUUGUUUAUGUUUACAAUUUUUUAAAGUUAGAGGACUGAUUGUUGUUGAUAUCUUGUUCGGAUUUAAUAUGCUUGGCAAUAUAAUAAACCAUGAUUGAUCUGGAACACGAUUAACAUUUAUUCAGUGUCUAAAAAUGAAAGUCUUGCGUGAUUUCUUUGCAAUGUGAAUGCGAAUGUGCUUUUGUGGGGGCAAAUCAAACUGUUUCAACGCCUGGUAUGAGUGUGUUUGUGAUGGCGAAUUGUACUCGUGUAUUCUCUAUUCAGUGUAUGUGUGAGUGAGUUCAGUGUGAAGGUGUUCAAUUUAACUUAGAAAUUGCUCUGCUCUGUCCGUAGAAAUCCAUUUACAGUUGUAACAGUAUUUAUCUAAUAUAUGACCAAGACACUCAUACAUACAAGUAUAGUUGUAUAACAAUAUCGGUCUUCCGACUAAUUUGGUACUGGAUUUUGUUUCAGUGUAUAUCAAUAUGUAAGUAUGCUUUGCGAAUUGUUUCUCAUUUGAUGUAUAUAAUCUCAAUAUCGAUUUAUAGUUGGUUAAACAGAUGCUAAGCGUGAUUCAAUUUCAUUUAACACCUAUACAAAAUGAUAAUCACGGUUGAAAUUUGUUCGUAAACUACUACAUAUAAAACGGAGGCGUUAUAUUUUCAGUGUAGGCCCUCCCACUUCUCCUCUCUGAAUGGUUGGUGAUGUGCGAAUGUAUUGCGUGAGAACAACAUUCAAAACAGGUCUGUGCGAUAGCGAGCGAGCCCAUGCACAUGCAUUGCACAUUUACACAUGUAUUGGUGCGAUAGCGACGACGACGCGAGCACGAUCCAUUCAAGGCUUACUUUGAUAUGCUUUUUUCUUCUGAAUUCCUACACGCACAUGGAAUGAACUUAAAAACUACACGUUGACAGAUGAUGCGGUUUAUCAUUCUACUAGUGACACGGGAAGGCGCUUCUACAUAACGGUGCAAAAAAAAACCAAAUCUUUUUGUUUGUUUUGAGAAUUUUCGUCCCGGCUUCGACAGUUUAGUUAAAAUGGAAACCGCGUAAUGACACUUAAAGCGUCUGUUCAGAUGACACUUAAAUACGAAACAGGGCAAGUGGGAAUUGGCAAGAUCUCAAGUUUCCAUCCCUGUAACGAUGGUAGUGCUGUGCUGUCUUCCGCCAUCCGUCACUAGUGAGUUUUAGUUAGUGUGUGUGUGUGUAUAAUGCUUUACCGCGAGCACAAAUAUCAUUGGCACGAGUUUUCUUCUCUUUCUCAGUGUGUUAGAGUUAACAUUCUAGUAGCUUUUAGUCCCAUUGUUUUGUUGUUUGUUACAGUUACUGCUAUUCACGUUGCUAUUAUCAAUGUUUCAGCUUAAUAUCGGAGAUCGGAAGUUCAAAAGAAAUCAAUCGAUGCACUUGCUGUAGAGCUCGUAUGCAAUACAAUAGAGGACCAAAACUACACCUAAAAGAUCGGAAUAAAAAACUUGUUUUUUUUUCAAAAUUUUUCUUAUUGUUCGUUCUAUUGUGCAUUCUUGAUGUUUUUACUUAGUUGAUGUGUCCGUUGUUUUAAAAAGAGGAAAGUUAAGUUAGAACCAAUGGAAUUCCUUAGUGUGUGUGUGUUUGUUUGUUGUUCAAAGAUUUAUUCUUUCAAGAGAAGGCACAUAAAGUACAUUGUUGUUAAAAUUCCUUUCGUCGAAAAACUUCCGAGUAGAUUUGUUAGUUCUUUCGCUUUGCGCUCGUGUUUUUUUCUUAGCAAAAUACAGUUUAGUAUGCCUUCGAGUUUGUUUUUCUUCUUAGGAAUCGUCUUUAGACAUAACGUUGCCCUAUUACUGGAAAAUAUAUUUAUGUUUGUGUGUAUUCGAAUAAUUACAAAUAUCUUAAAGUUCUACUAACGCUAUUACUGUGUUCUCUUUUGUUUUAAUUCUCUUAAUGGCAAGAAUGGAAAUCUAUAAACAAUAGGUAAUAAAAAUUACACCACAUGUUUUUUGUUUGUUUGCUUCUUUUGUAAAUUGGAGGAGAAGGAUUAUCGGCUUUACUAAAGACAGUUCAUGGUUGACACAUUCGGGAGGAGUGAUCGUUUUCUACUACGAGUUCAUUUGCUUAACCCUAAAAGGGAUACCUGGGGUCCAUUGGACCCCAGGCGCCUUUCAGAGCUCGUCUUUGAUGGAACACACUCAGCGAGGUGACGAAACUGAGGCCAUGAAGGUAUCCCUUUUAGGGUUAAUAAUUCUAUGGAUCUGAUCGUGGUUCAUGAGGUCAGUAGUGAAAAAUAUAUUCCAAUGUAAAUCAUUGAUGGAUGUUGUUGGACUUAAGCUAGUUUACGUAACAUUCAUUUUGCUAGAGAAAUGAUAGGGCAUAUAGUCGUGGCAACUAGACUUACACAAAACGUGUUGCCAUCAAUAACAAUUCAACUGUUUGAAUUUAAAAAAAAGGUCGCUCUUAUACUAACUUUAGAUUGAUUUAAAAGUUUGUUCCCGGGUACACAAAAUUAGGAUAAUUUGGGAUUCGGCGCAGAUUUGCAUACAGUUUUUCACAGCUGAACUUUCUAGCUAGAUAAGUUUUGCAGCAUCAGACUGCAUAACGUCCCCAGGAGCAGCUUAAACAACUUUCAAAAGAAAACUCUGAUAAUCGAAUCACCCGGAUAUUCAUUUAGCAGUAUUUUUUCUUUUUUUGCCAUCUAGUUUUUAAGUGUAAAGACAAGGAAUGUCGAAAGAACUCCUCGAUUAUUUUCAGAACUAAUCAUUGAGGAAUUCUCAGAAGAAAAAACUUCUGGAGGAUUCCCAGAAGGAGCUUUCGGAGGAGUUACUGAAGGAAUUCUGAGAACAAUCCCAGUAGAAAAUCUUAAAGAAAUUUGGCCGUAGCACAACACAAACUUUUGGAAGAAUGAAGCAACGGAUAUCCAGCUGGAAUUCCAAAAAGAAAUUCUGGAAGAUUUCCAGAAGAAACUUUUAAUCUUCCCGGAUUCUAGGAUCUUGCGACCUUCUAAUUCUUACUAAUCCCUCCAUGAUUUAGGGAAAAAAAACUGGGAAAGGGAGUGGACCUGUAGUGAUGGUUAAAGUACGUGACUAUCACGCCGAGGACCUGGGAUUGAAUCCCACUCCCGACAGACUCGCAAAAAUGUGAGUUCUUCCUUCGGAAGAGAAGUAAAGCGUGGGUCCCGAGAUGAACUAGCAUUGGGCUCAAAAUCUCGUUGAUAGAGAGAAAAAAACCUGGGUAAUCCCAAAAGGAAAAUCAUGUGAAAACACCAUACAACAGAAGCUCUUGAAGGAAUCCAAGAAUAUGGUUAUGGGUGAAUUCCAGAAGGAUAUGCACUAGAAUGGGUCAUCGGAACCUUUUUCUGAGCAUAAGGCUUUUUCUGGUUCCAUUAUGGGUCCUGCACAACUGUUUAAAAUUAGAACAUGAUCGAUUGCAUCUACAGUUUGGCGUAUUGCAUGCAGGAUUCCAGGAAGUAAUUUCUGGAAGAUUCACAGAAGGAACUUUUGGAGAUAUCCUUAACCAAUUCCUGAAGUUUUGCAGGAGAAACUCCUGCUGGAUUCCCUGAUUAAAAUUUCCAGAAGUAACCCUCAGAGGAUUCUCAUAAUGAACUUCUCGAUGAUUCCCAGAAAGUACUCCUGGAAAUCUCAGAUGGAACUCUUGAAGAAAUCCAAGAAUUAAGUCAUAGAUGAAUUCCGGAAGGAACUCCUGUAGGAUUCCCAAAAAAGGGCUUGUCCAUAAACUUCGUCAACUUCUCGGGGGAAAGGAAAGGGUCUGGAUGAAGUCUAUGGUCCUUACAAGUUUCGAAAGAAGGGGGCCUGAGAGGAAACCCCAAGGGAAAACCUAAAAUUAGUUCUGGAGAAAUGUCCAAAGUUCCACAAUUUAAUUCCAUGAGGUUUCUAGAUUACCAGCAGAAACUACUGCAGAAAUCCAAAAAGUGAUUUCUGGAGAAAUCUCAAAAGAAAUUGAAGGUGAAAUUCCUGGUGUAACUUGCGGCAAUUUAAGAAGAUACAUAUGGGUGUAUUCCAAAAGGAACCUUUGCAGGAAUCUCAGAAAAGCUUCUCAACGUACUGCAAGUGAUAACCAAGCAGAUACGUACAAGAUUACCUAUACGAAUGGUCGAAACAUUCUUGGUAGAAUCCCUGAACAAAGACUUCUGGCCAACUGUCAACUGCUAACUGUUUGCCAACUGUCGCCGCAGCCUUACAAUCUUCUUGCAUGCCUCGGAUAUCGCAAUGUUUUCAGCUUUCAUAGAAACCUUCCGCGGAAACGUUCGCCAGCUUCCUGCUAGUCCAGGACACCGUUGCCUGUCCAACUUGAUACACAUACCCUUUUCUGUCUGAGCUAUCGCUAGUUCUGUGCGCAUGGCAGUAACCGGUCAGUAAUAUCGGUCCUGCUCUGUUCGUCGACAACUUGUGAUGGCUUGUACUCAGAAGGUACCUGACGACUUGCAAGUAGCAUAUCGUCAACAUAUAUAAACUAGACUCGCUCCCCGUUCUGCAAAUUUUUCACAUACAGGCAUGGGUCAAAAUGUGACGCCUGACAGCCCAACUCCUUUGACGGUCUCGUUUUCGUUCCACACUUUCGUCGCCUUCAUCCUAGCUUACAAAAAAUGUCUCCUAUCCCGGCUCUAUGAACUCCUUCGUCCUUCGGAUAAUUCGUUUGUGGUCCACCAAGCUGAGCAGAAUUUGCAAGUCUUUACCAGGGCAUUGCGAGAACCACUGUACUAGACGGGCCACGUUACCGAACCGAUCCUACUUUUUUCUGAAUACCUACAUUCAUCCUAUGAGGCUUUUUCCGCCCAAUUCACAAAUUUCCACACUCUGCGAUGUGCGAGUCUUGUUCCUUUUUCAUAGCGACCUACUACUAUAUUUUCUCGGAACUUCUGACAUAUAGCGUCCUCAUACACACUUAAAACUGAUUCACGAGCUCGGCUGAAAUAUUUGCUUCAUAACGGCAAUUCAAAAUUUUGCUGACAUUUCGGCAAACAAAAUGUUUUUGCCGAGAUUGUUCAAAAUAUUUUACCGAAAUAACAGGAAACUGCUUGAAAAAUUGUAAAAGUGACAGCAUUUUUUGCUGAUUCUGGCAGUGAUCACGGAUUUUGCCGAAAUCAGUAAACGAGAUUACCGAGAUAUCAGCAAUCAAGUCAUCCUUUGCUGAGUUUCAGUAAUACAACUGUCAUUUUUGCAGCCACCAUGUUUUGGCAAAAAAAAAACAAAUCAGUGGUGGUGUGUGGUGCUGAAGGCACAUGAAGUGCAUUCUUAAACGAAGUCCAAAUGUGUAAGAAUUAAAGACACUCUGUAAGUAAACUAUUGCUAAUUUGCUUCAUAUUCAAUUUAUUCUAGAAUCGCAGUAACGCCUAUGUGUAGCUGUUCGUCAAGGAGCAGUCUUUGAGGAGUAACCAAUCUCGAAAUGAAAGAAGGAACCCUGAGAUGAAUGAUUGUAUGCGGCAACAAAUUCUAUAUUUUUAAUAUUUUUAUGGACCAAUAAAUGUUCGAGAAUACAAUUUCUUUAUUGUGGUUUCAUACGGAAUAAGACUAGGCUAAGAACUCAUAAUUUUAUUUUUUUUACACGCAAAAACGGCUACGCUCAAAAAUGUGUUCGGCCUGCACAUUUUUAGUAAACAUCCAUGCCGCACAUGACUGUGUUGGAAACACACAUUUUUUUUUAAUUGCUCGUACGCUCACAUGAGCAUGUAAUUUGCAAUAAUUUCGACAUGGCAACCUCACUGGGUUUAUAAACCACCUUCAAAUACCGAAAAAUAUUGAUAUUUUGCAAAAAUGUGAGCGUACGAGCAAUUUUAAAAAAUGUGUGUUUCCAACACAGUCCCUGUGUGGCAUGGUGUUACUCAAAAAUGAGAGUUUUUAUUUUAGAGAGUAUUUUUUUAUUCAUUUCAAAAGAAAACAAAUGAGGGGGUUAGAAGCAAAGGGGUGUAAGUGAUAAAAACCCACUUUCGAGUAAAUGAGGUCUAAAGUUUUUGACCAAUUUUUCAUCCCAUACAAAAUGUAUGGGAUUUUAAAUUAAACCCAAUUUUCGCUGAUUUAUUGUAUUUUUUCCAAUCAUCAUAGAAACAAUCUUAAAAAAGUUCCUGAAAGCUUGAAAUCUGAAGAAUUUUAUGAUAUGCUCAGCUCAAAAUCGACAAAAUGGUCACUUACACACUUAAUUUAUUUCGCUGAAUCUCGGUAAUUUUUCUUGCUUUUUACCGAGAUUGGCACCGCCGAGCACUCAGCAAACUUGUUUUUCAACGGGAUCUCAGCAAUCAUGAUGUUUGUUUGCUGAGAUUCAGGAAAUGUUUUGCCGAAAUUCAGCUAACAAACGUAAUUUUCAACCGAGAUUCAGCAUAAAUAUUUGCUGAGCCACGGCGGUGCCGGCGUUUGCCGAGCUCAUCUUAGUGUGUACACCCCUUUGAUUCUGGGCCCCUCAAAUAAGAAAAAAAUAAGCCGAGAUUCAGCAAAUCCAUUUAUGCUGGCAAAUGAUUUUGCCGAGCUUCAGCAAAUGUAUUUGCUGAGAAUCUCGGUAAAAUAUCACUAGCUGUCAAUUUUGUGAUUGCCGAAGUCCCGGCAAAUUCAAUUUUUGCCGAGCUGUUUGCCGAGCAGUCGGCGGUGCCAAUCUCGGCAAUUGGUUUGCUGAGAUUCGGCGAAAAAAACUAAGUGUGAGAGUAUAUUACAGGUGAGGAAGAAGAAGAGAUGGCUAUGUAUUAGUAACCAAAGAAAAAUGUAAACACAAAUAGUGACGUCACUAUUUGACACGCGUUCUUAUGGGAGCUCGCUUUGCUUGUAGUAGUGACAUGUUUUGCACCAGACACGGAUCUCACGCACACGAAGUAUCUUCUUCCCCACCUCUAUUAGACUCUCAUUGCACACUACUCAUUUGGACCAUGCUGCGGAUUGGUAAAAUGCUAAGCUGGUGAAGAUUCUACACAGUUAAACGCAUGGGAGUCCAUGUACUUCGCCACAGCGAUUGCCCCGAUACAAUCACCACUCUUCAACCUGACAAAGCUGAGAAUUCAGUAGAACAACGACAUUUUCGACGAGUACUGUGCGCACUGGCAAGUACAAUACACUAUGCCCAGGGAGCCGAGAAAAUUUUCCCGACUGGAACUGCGACGAUGCAUCAAUGUGACAAUGCACCAAUGCAACGAUGAAACAAUACAAUGAGUUGUAUAGCUUUCAUACUGUGUGAAACAUUUCAAUGAAACAUUUCAAAGCGUGACGGAAGGACAGACAACUCUGGGAUUUUAUAUAUAUAAUAAUUAGCACUUUAUAACUAGUAGUCCUACAUUAUAGAGAUGUGUGGAGGCGGCCAUUGUGAGCCAAAUGAACAUGUUUAUUGUUUGUAGGAAGGCGUUGUUUGAACGGUAUUGCAAUCGUCUAUAAUCGUAUUACAAAUACUUAUUUUUAUUAUCGAGAAUUUGAUGGCAUACGUAAAUUUUGUGAGAAGAUAAUAUUAAGGACAGACUUGUUAGAAUCCCAAAAUGGCCGCCACAAUGGCCGACUUUGGCACCUACUCACGAUUUUGAGGGCACAAAUCUUUUCGUAAACAAAACCAGCGCACCUGAUCUUCUUAUUUUAAGCAUAUUACGAGUGAGCAAGAACAGAAUAAUGAAAUGCAUUGUUGUGUGAAGCUUGCUUUUUGAGAUUUGUGCAUAUGAAGUUGUGAUGCACUGUUGAAGCGGGAUUUCAAGACGUUUGUCCUUAAAUCAAUAAAACAGCGUAACAAAAAUUAACUUUUAGUCUGUCUCAAGAGCAAACAUAUGUGUCUCUGACAGAUUUUGGGCCGCUGAAUCGGAAUCCGGGCUCAGAUUUGCUCCAACACGUCACAAUUUUGAGCUAUACCUUAAUUUAUUGGGCAAAAUAUGUGAUUUUGGGCUUUUUUGACUGCAAACCAUUAGGCAUGGAAAUAUUUUUUUUAACCAAUCAAAGGAUAAAUUGGUCAAUUUACAUGUAAAUUAACGACUCAUGCAAAAUAUUUCGUUUUACCAAAUCGAAUUUGAUAGUUUUAAGCGAUUCAUGUUAGGUACUAUAUUUCUCAUACUAGUCACCCUCCAAAAGUUGCAUGCAAGUUUACACACUGACAUAAAAUGCUUAAAUCUAUCAAAUUUGAUUUGGUAAAACGAAAUAUUUUGCAUGAGUCGUUCAUUUAGAUGUUAAUGGACCAGUUAAUCCUUUGAUUGCUUAAAAAUUAUAUUUCCAUGCUUAAUGACUGGCAAUCAAAAAAGCCCAAAAUCGCAUAUUUUGCCCUAUAAAUUGAGGUAUAGCUCAAAAUUGUGACGUGCUGGAGCAAAUCUGCUGCUGCUUGAUUCACUUCUGCCGAUGUGAUUUGCGUUAUUCUUUGCAAUGCAUUUCAGAUUUCUUCGAUUGCGCUGUUAUCUUUUUCAAAAUUUGGGGGAAAAAAGUUCGAAUAUAAUAGCAAAAUAAUAACAAAACAACUUGCACCACAACAAAGUCACGCAAAAAGUUAGAACAUCUAGCUUUGAGCAUCUACCCAGAUGAAAAUUUGUUUAAUUUAUUUCAUCUAGUUUUGGUGAUAAAGUUGCAAAAAUAUGGGCUAGUGCAUUAACUAUAUGCUUAUGCAUCACUUUAAACAAAACGUCAUGCAAGAAAUCAAAGAAAAAAUUAUCAAAAAUUAUCUCUGAGUAGAAGUUGUUGAGAGUCGACCCCGCUGUGCUGUCAAAAAUUUUCAGGCUCAGUGAACUCAAUGUUAAUCGGUGCAGUCACAGAGAACAAUAGAGAUAAUAAACUAUAGAGGAAGAAUGUCGCUGGCGUCGCUGCCGAAACAUCGUUUGCUGGCGGGGAUAGGCAGGGACAUACACUACCCGUCAAAAGUACGGACUCACAAAAAGUAUUGCAACAAUAUUGCAUCACCCUGACUCACCUCGAUAUAUCAAAAACCUGAAGACUUACAAAGAUGCUGUCUUCAGCAAAGUUACUCAGAAGCCCAAGAGCUACAACUUUUCUGAAGGCGGCGUUUUUGUAGGUGUUCUGGUUUUAGAGAUAUCGAGGUGAAUCAGAGUGAUGCAAUAUUGUUGCAAUACUUUUUCUGAGUCCGUACUUAUGACGGGUAGUGUAAGUGUCAAAGCCAAAAAGUAUGCAGUUUGACAGAUAGGUACCCGGGAUGUUCACGAACGAGAACAAAGGGAACAGCAGCGACAUUCGUUCUCUAUAGUUUCUUAACUCUAUUCAGAGAACAGACAAGUCCAGUUCCGAAACUGUGUAAGGAAAUUAACGGCCAUUUAAAAUCGGCAACACAAGUGGCAACAUCGGUUAAUUUCAAGCAUAUUUCAGUUACCUUAACAGAUUUUGUUGUCGGUUGAGAAUCAUAGGUACGGUUAGUAAUUUACUAUGGAAUCGGUAGUUUUCACGACAAAAUUUAUUUCAGUGUGCCAGCAGUGAAAAUUGAAUACAAUUACUUUUGAAGCAUCUAGUUUCCAGCGCUGACAUCCCGAUGGCGACA